RNAcentral lists this long non-coding RNA (307 nucleotides) under Mus spicilegus (steppe mouse). Its description in RNAcentral is "lncRNA (ENSMSIG00000026944.1)". Lineage: Eukaryota; Metazoa; Chordata; Mammalia; Rodentia; Muridae. The record is from RNAcentral.
UGAGGAUCGCAGCACCAGACAAGUUGAGAACCAGUGCUUUAGAAACUCCACACAGUUAAGCAGUGUGUCUGCUUACUGUCUGUUAUAUAACUUUAGACCCAAGGACAAUGCUUGACAGAGUCAGUAUUCAAAAAUCUGUCCAAGGUGCCUUUGUUUGGUGCUCUCUGACGAGGAGUGUUUGAGCAAUAUAUGCACAAGGUUGCCCUUUGGAGAUCUCAUCCAGGUUCAUCGUGAAGAUUUGAGGUUUCUUCUAACAGCCGCCAAAACUUGAAUUGGAGAUGCUAGAGAGGAAGAUGUAGAAAAUGGG